AGUCGAACGAGAGAAUUGCUAGCUUGCUAAUAAUUCUCUAGUGGCGCACGGGUGAGUAACACGUGAGUAACCUGCCCCCGAGAGCGGGAUAGCCCUGGGAAACUGGGAUUAAUACCGCAUAGUAUCGAAAGAUUAAAGCAGCAAUGCGCUUGGGGAUGGGCUCGCGGCCUAUUAGUUAGUUGGUGAGGUAACGGCUCACCAAGGCGAUGACGGGUAGCCGGUCUGAGAGGAUGUCCGGCCACACUGGAACUGAGACGCGGUCCAGACACCUACGGGUGGCAGCAGUCGAGAAUCAUUCACAAUGGGGGAAACCCUGAUGGUGCGACGCCGCGUGGGGGAAUGAAGGUCUUCGGAUUGUAAACCCCUGUCAUGUGGGAGCAAAUUAAAAAGAUAGUACCACAAGAGGAAGAGACGGCUAACUCUGUGCCAGCAGCCGCGGUAAUACAGAGGUCUCAAGCGUUGUUCGGAAUCACUGGGCGUAAAGCGUGCGUAGGCUGUUUCGUAAGUCGUGUGUGAAAGGCGCGGGCUCAACCCGCGGACGGCACAUGAUACUGCGAGACUAGAGUAAUGGAGGGGGAACCGGAAUUCUCGGUGUAGCAGUGAAAUGCGUAGAUAUCGAGAGGAACACUCGUGGCGAAGGCGGGUUCCUGGACAUUAACUGACGCUGAGGCACGAAGGCCAGGGGAGCGAAAGGGAUUAGAUACCCCUGUAGUCCUGGCAGUAAACGGUGCACGCUUGG
RNAcentral lists this ribosomal RNA (739 nucleotides) under uncultured bacterium. RNAcentral's name for it is "bacterial SSU rRNA". It matches the Rfam family "Bacterial small subunit ribosomal RNA", at positions 60 to 820 of the family's 1533-position model. The record is from RNAcentral.